GACGAACGCUGGCGGCGUGCUUAACACAUGCAAGUCGAACGGAAAGGCCCUGCUUUUGUGGGGUGCUCGAGUGGCGAACGGGUGAGUAACACGUGAGUAACCUGCCCUUGACUUUGGGAUAACUUCAGGAAACUGGGGCUAAUACCGGCUAGGAGCUCCUGCUGCAUGGUGGGGGUUGGAAAGUUUCGGCGGUUGGGGAUGGACUCGCGGCUUAUCAGCUUGUUGGUGGGGUAGUGGCUUACCAAGGCUUUGACGGGUAGCCGGCCUGAGAGGGUGACCGGCCACAUUGGGACUGAGAGACGGCCCAGACUCCUACGGGGGGCAGCAGUGGGGAAUAUUGCACAAUGGGCGGAAGCCUGAUGCAGCAACGCCGCGUGCGGGAUGACGGCCUUCGGGGUGUAAACCGCUUUCGCCUGUGACGAAGCGUGAGUGACGGUAAUGGGUAAAGAAGCACCGGCUAACUACGUG
This 468-nucleotide ribosomal RNA is filed under the name uncultured bacterium. Its description in RNAcentral is "partial 16S ribosomal RNA". It matches the Rfam family "Bacterial small subunit ribosomal RNA", at positions 28 to 507 of the family's 1533-position model. The record is from RNAcentral.